AACGAACGCUGGCGGCAUGCCUAACACAUGCAAGUCGAACGAGACCUUCGUGUCUAGUGGCGCACGGGUGCGUAACGCGUCGGAACCUGCCCUUAGGUUCGGAAUAACUCCCCGACAGGGGUGCUAACACCGGAUAAUGUCUUCGGACCCAAGAUUUAUCGCCUUUGGAUGGGCCCGCGUUGGCUUAGCUUGUUGGUAGGGUAAAAGCCUACCAAGGCGUCGAUCCAUAGCUGGUCUGAGAGGCUGAUCAGCCACACUGGGACUAAGACGCGGCCCAGACUACUACGGGAUGCAGGAGAGGGGGAUAUUGCAAAAUGGGCGGAAGCCUGAUCCAGCAAUGCCGCGUGAGUGAUGAAGGCCGUAGGGUUGUAAAGCUCUUUUACCCGGGAUGAUAAUGACAGUACCGGGAGAAUAAGCACCGGCUAACUCCGUG
Molecule: ribosomal RNA, 433 nt
Filed under: uncultured bacterium
Lineage: Bacteria
Description: partial 16S ribosomal RNA
Rfam family: Bacterial small subunit ribosomal RNA
Source: RNAcentral